This is a long non-coding RNA of Cyprinus carpio (common carp), 458 nucleotides long. Lineage: Eukaryota; Metazoa; Chordata; Actinopteri; Cypriniformes; Cyprinidae. The record is from Ensembl.
ACAUUUUGAGGGUUUAAACCUAUGCCUGGAAACUUAAGUGGCAGCAUAUUGUGGUCUGCAGUUUUUGAGACAAAAGAGCAGGAAGGCAGUGUUUCAAAAAUGAGUUCCCAUGAGAAAAGAGAGAAUGAAGACACUAUGUCUGAAAUGAGAUCUCCUUCUCCCAGAUCAAGCUGUGCAUCUUUGUCUGAUAAUUCCAUAUACAAGCUGCCCCCUGAAAUCAGUGAUGCAACAGAGACCUCCAGUGACUGCAGAAAAAACAGGAAGAAGAGAUCAAAAUCUCCAGAACCCAGCGGUGUGUCUAUGAAUAGUACAAGAUCCAUGGAUUUUGCCAUUUCAUUCAAUGAUGGAACAGUGACCUCUUCCCCACAGUUAGUAUAAAUAUUUAGUUGCUGAUUUACUGUAAUUUACCUUGAUUAAAUAAUGGUUUCAGAAACCCAAUAAACACUUAAUGUUCUCCA